Non-coding RNA from Pelobates cultripes (western spadefoot toad), 237 nucleotides. The record is from the annotation of a GenBank genome assembly. NCBI's taxonomy places the organism in Eukaryota, Metazoa, Chordata, Amphibia, Anura, Pelobatidae.
ACACAACUUCAUACAAAACACGGGCCUACUGGACCAGUGGAGACUCCAACACCCGGGAGAACAGGACUACAUGUUUUUUUCAGCAGCACAUAAAACCUACUCAUGCAUAGAUCUCUUCCUUACCAACAAAAUAGGCAUGCAAUGGAUCAGAACCUCGGUGAUUAACCCGAUAUCAUGGUCAGACCACGCAGACAUUGCGCUCACCUUAAAAACCCAGUAACUAUGCACCAUGGAAAU